CAUGGAGGGGCUCAGAUCCAGGGUAGAAGGAAUGGGUGACCCCAGCUGUGAUGUCCUGGUGCCUCUGGGGGACUCACCCUGGGUGAAGGGAUGGAGGACCCUGUUUGUGCUGUCCUUGUGCCCACAUGUGUGACCCACACCCAGGGCAGUGGGCAUGGGUGACCCCAGCUGUGGCACCCAAUGGGGCUCAGAUAUGGGGUGCAGGGGGGUGACAGCCACGGGGUUUGUCCCAGAUCAUCGUGUUCCUGUGCUACGGGGCCCGGCUGAACAAGUGGGUGCUGCAGACCUACCACCCCGAGUACAUGAAGAGCCCCCUGGUCUAUCACCCCGGGCACCGCGCCCGCGCCUGGCGCUUCCUCACCUACAUGUUCAUGCACGUGGGGCUGGAGCAGCUGGGGUUCAACGCCCUCCUGCAGCUGAUGAUCGGGGUGCCCCUGGAGAUGGUGCACGGCAUCCUGCGCAUCAGCUUCCUCUACCUGGCCGGGGUCCUGGCAGGCUCCCUCACCGUCUCCAUCACGGACAUGAGGGCGCCCCUGGUAGGGGGCUCGGGGGGGGUCUACGCCCUCUGCUCUGCUCACCUUGCCAACGUCGUCAUGGUCAGCCAGGGGACAAGGGGACACGGGGGGGACAGGGGGGAUGGCUUUGUAGGGUGGGCAGCAUGCUGGGGGAUGCAUGGGGUGACAAUGGG
This 688-nucleotide long non-coding RNA is filed under the name Zonotrichia albicollis (white-throated sparrow). RNAcentral describes it as "lncRNA (ENSZALG00000011901.1)". Lineage: Eukaryota; Metazoa; Chordata; Aves; Passeriformes; Passerellidae. The record is from RNAcentral.